UAUGCUCAAGAGGCUAAAAUCUCACCUAUAGUAUAGAAAUCCCUCUUCAAAGCUCAAGUGGAAGCUAAAUCCCUUUCAAAGUAACCUAAACCAAGGUUCAAAUCUCAUUAGAUUAGCUCAAAGAGCCUCUAAUCAAAAAGCCCCAAAUAAAUCCUAGAUUUCCCACUCUAGGGUUUCAUCUCCCAAAAACCAUCAAAACUAGGUCUAGAGGGGAGAAAAGAGCAACUAACCUCUUAAGAAGCUCCAAUCUAAGCUCCAAGGGUGAAGAUCUUCUCUCUAGCAAGCUCCAAGUCCAAGCCUUCAAGCACUAAAGGGAAGAAGAGAGGGAGAGGAAGAUGCUCCAAGUCCUCUAAUU
RNAcentral lists this long non-coding RNA (355 nucleotides) under Ananas comosus (pineapple). RNAcentral's name for it is "long non-coding RNA (ACOM_LNC001943)". The record is from RNAcentral. Lineage: Eukaryota; Viridiplantae; Streptophyta; Magnoliopsida; Poales; Bromeliaceae.